UGUGUGUGUGUGUGUGUGUGUGUGUGUGUGUGUGUAUAUAUAUAUACACACAUAUAUACACAUACACAUAUAUACACA
Molecule: microRNA precursor, 78 nt
Filed under: Pelobates cultripes (western spadefoot toad)
Lineage: Eukaryota; Metazoa; Chordata; Amphibia; Anura; Pelobatidae
Source: RNAcentral